Lutra lutra (Eurasian river otter) is the source of this 1948-nucleotide long non-coding RNA. RefSeq lists it as uncharacterized. The record is from RefSeq and is a predicted model, not a curated record. The transcript is spliced from 4 exons. NCBI's taxonomy places the organism in Eukaryota, Metazoa, Chordata, Mammalia, Carnivora, Mustelidae.
CGCACCCCCACCUCCUUCCCUUCCCCCGCAAUCAGUCCCGCGUUGCUGCAAGGUGGGGGGUUCAGGGCGGCGAACUCCUGGGCUGGGCGUAGGAAACCCGGUUGGGGGAACGGGGUCCCAAAUUCGGGGCACGUGCACAUGGGUGAAGGAGCUGUUGAAAAUACAGCCAAAAAUCUUUUUCUGCUCUCCUCUCCCAACUCAUACUGCCCCCUCCCUACCUUUGAACAGUCGCCUUCCAACACAAGCAACAAUAAAGGACACUCACCCUUGGAACCCAGCCACGAUGUUGUUAGGAGGCCAAGCAGCCACAUGGAAAGGUCAUGUGUGACUACGAAGGUCAAAUAAGCCAAGGUAUUCACGAAGAACUUUUGUAAAGGAGAAGCACUGUAUAAAUAUGGGUACCUGCUGACUCUGUGUCUUCAGAAGCCACUUUCAUCUCCUUGGAUGAAAGCUAUGGGGUGAAGUUUUUAUUGGCUAGUGAAAGGGACAAAUUUUGGUCUUCAGACCGCCGGCGGAAAGAUCCAUGGACUUCCCAAACUGGAGUGGAAGGAAGGAGAACAAAACGGGGCUGCUGUAUGAUGGGGAUCUGUCCUCCUCCUUCCCCUGGAUGAGGGGGCUCACGCAGGAGGAGGUUACGUGGCUGCCCGGGGCAGGGAGGCUCCCUUACCCCCUGCUCCCCAGUAACACUCAACCUCUCCUGGCUUUUUCCUAACGCUACAUCCUCACCAGGGCACCAUUGGCCAGGCAUGUGCCACAGAUGACCCUGUGGAGGCAGCUGUCCCCCCGUGGGCCACCCGUCAUGGCUGCUUCUUCGCCUCUGCUAGCUUCCUUCUUCGUCUGCUGGUGGCCUCCACUUACCCUGCCUUAAGCCCACCCCUCUGGCCUCCUCCCCCUCCUCCUGAGGUCUCAUCUCAUACCUCUUCCACUUUCCUGCUUUGGGGCUUGAAGUAGACCAACAUCCAAGAUUUGAAAGAGAAAGAAAGCCCAUGUUCACCCUCUCAUCCAAAGUCCCUCAGCUGUUACCUCCAAAGAAGCUGUGAUUUUGCUGGUCCUAGACAAGAAUUGCAAAGCACCGUUUCGUCCUGAACUGCCAGCUCUGCAUGCCCUGACCUUGGACCUGGCGUGUUCGACGGCUCCUGCAUGGGACCCUAGCCUCUACCUGCUGCUUCCUCCCAGGAGGUUUCCUCCAGAGCCUGCAAGGUGCUUGGGAAGAGUUGUCUGAAUUAGGGCUAUGGGUGGAGGCAGUCCUGGGAGAGGACUCAGGCUGGUAAUAGUGGUGUCCAUGACCCCUGGCGUCUUUGCUCCCAUAGUGGGCCACCCCGGUCAGCCUCCUUGUGGCCUGAGCAUCCCAAAUGUUGCUUCUCAGGAACUUAAGGGCUCCUUUCUCUAUCUGAUUUGCCCUUUCCUAGCCAACCAGAGUCCAACCAGAGCUGGCUGACUCCCAGAUUCACACAAAGGGAUAUGGGGAGAGACCUGAGCUUCCCACUCUGGGCUGGCCCUGGGGAGGUGGGACCUCAGCCCAGGUCUGUUUGUCCCAGGAGGCUGUACACAAUCCUGAUACUGGGCACGGCCACUGCAAAGAAGGCUGGGUGCAGCCCAUGCUCCUUCCUGCUCUUUCAAGUUCUAGAAAAGCUCAGUAAAUAUUAGAGGAGGCAGGUUAUCAGGCUAACCGCUGAAUAGCCAGGUGGUUAUGUAAUUGAACUUUGGCUCUGCUCCAUCUCCACAGACAGAAAAUGGAUUCUUGCAGCCUUGGGGGCAUGGAGCCCUGCUGCAGGUUCCCUCCUUUCCCUUCCGGCCUCAGCCAGAUUUCUUUGGACCUCUUGAAACAGGUCCUGAGACCACCGUUUGGUAAGAUGGCCAAGGGAGGAAGGAAGGAUUAAAACCAGAGAAGGGAAGGGGGAGGAGAUGAUGAAGCUGGAGUCUCCAAGAAUCAAAAUGUUAAAAAUGU